UAGGGAAUCUUCCGCAAUGGGCGAAAGCCUGACGGAGCAACGCCGCGUGAGUGAUGAAGGUCUUCGGAUCGUAAAACUCUGUUAUUAGGGAAGAACAAAUGUGUAAGUAACUAUGCACGUCUUGACGGUACCUAAUCAGAAAGCCACGGCUAACUACGUGCCAGCAGCCGCGGUAAUACGUAGGUGGCAAGCGUUAUCCGGAAUUAUUGGGCGUAAAGCGCGCGUAGGCGGUUUUUUAAGUCUGUUGUGAAACCCCACGGCUCAACCCUUGAGGUUCAUUUUCACCUGUCCCCCUUGCCUGCAGAAUAGGCAAGUGGACUUCCCUUUUUAUCGCUGACCUGCCCAGCUCUCUGUUGGCCCACCACUGGCGAAUGCGACUUUCUGGUCUGUCACUGACGCUGAUGUGCGCACGCGUGGGGAUCAAACAGG
Molecule: ribosomal RNA, 429 nt
Filed under: Actinomycetes bacterium
Lineage: Bacteria; Bacillati; Actinomycetota; Actinomycetes
Description: Actinobacteria bacterium partial 16S ribosomal RNA
Rfam family: Bacterial small subunit ribosomal RNA
Source: RNAcentral